This 402-nucleotide non-coding RNA is filed under the name Heterocephalus glaber (naked mole-rat). Its description in RNAcentral is "Eukaryotic small subunit ribosomal RNA". It matches the Rfam family "Eukaryotic small subunit ribosomal RNA", at positions 607 to 1028 of the family's 1831-position model. The record is from Rfam by way of RNAcentral. Lineage: Eukaryota; Metazoa; Chordata; Mammalia; Rodentia; Bathyergidae.
AAGUUGAUGCAGUUAAAAAGCUUGUAGUUGGAUCUUGAGAGUGAGUGAGCAGUCCGCCUAGAGGCAAGCCACUGCCCAUCCCCACCCCUUGCUUCUCAGCAUACCCUGGAUGCUCUUGGCUGAGUGCCUUUUGGGACCUAAAGUGUUUACUUUGAAAAAAUUCGUGUUUUAAGCAGGCCUGAGUCACUUGAAUACUGCAGCUAGGAAAAUGCAAUAGGACUAAGGUUCUAUUUUAUUAGUUUUCAAAACUGAGGCCAUGAUUAAGAGGGACCUACGGCCUUUUGCCCUUUUGCCCCAGAUAUUUUGGAGACUAAUGGACACGGAUUCUAUCUAAGACUGAUUCCAGGGGACCCAAAACAUCACUGUGGCUUUCCAAUAAGAGCAGGGACCUAUGGAGAUCAG